Molecule: ribosomal RNA, 467 nt
Filed under: uncultured Sphingobacteriales bacterium
Lineage: Bacteria; Pseudomonadati; Bacteroidota; Sphingobacteriia; Sphingobacteriales
Description: bacterial SSU rRNA
Rfam family: Bacterial small subunit ribosomal RNA
Source: RNAcentral
ACGGGGCCCGCACAAGCGGAGGAGCAUGUGGUUUAAUUCGAUGAUACGCGAGGAACCUUACCUGGGCUCGAACGUAAGAUGACUGUAGGUGAAAGCUUACAUCUCUUCGGAGCAUUUUACGAGGUGCUGCAUGGUUGUCGUCAGCUCGUGCCGUGAGGUGUCGGGUUAAGUCCCAUAACGAGCGCAACCCUACCUUUAGUUGCCAUCAGGUAAUGCUGGGGACUCUAAAGGAACUGCCUACGCAAGUAGUGAGGAAGGCGGGGAUGACGUCAAAUCAGCACGGCCUUUACGUCCAGGGCUACACACGUGCUACAAUGGCCGAUACAGAGGGCAGCUACCUGGUGACAGGAUGCAAAUCUCCAAAGUCGGUCUCAGUUCGGAUCGGAGUCUGCAACCCGACUCCGUGAAGUUGGAUUCGCUAGUAAUCGCGCAUCAGCCAUGGCGCGGUGAAUACGUUCCCGGGCCUU